GAUGAAGAACGUAGCGAAAUGCGAUAAGUAAUGUGAAUUGCAGAAUUCAGUGAAUCAUCGAAUCUUUGAACGCACAUUGCGCCCCUUGGUAUUCCGAGGGGCAUGCCUGUUCGAGCGUCAUAUUAACCACUCCCGCUUGCGGGGUCUUGGGCUUCGCCUCCGGGCGGGCCUUAAAAUCAGUGGCGGUGCCGUCGGGCUCUACGCGUAGUAAAUUUUCUCGCGAUAGGGUCCCGGUGGAUGCUUGCUAACAACCCCCAACUUCUUAAGGUUGACCUCGGAUCAGGUAGGGAUACCCGCUGAACUUAAGCAUAUCAAUAAGCGGAGGA
Molecule: unclassified non-coding RNA, 326 nt
Filed under: soil metagenome
Description: partial contains 5.8S ribosomal RNA, internal transcribed spacer 2, and large subunit ribosomal RNA
Rfam family: 5.8S ribosomal RNA (bases 1-120)
Source: RNAcentral